UGCGGGGUCCUUCGGGGCGGUUCACAGGUGGUGCAUGGCUGUCGUCAGCUCGUGUUCGUGAGAUGUUGGGUUAAGUCCCGCAACGAGCGCAACCCUCGUCCAAUGUUGCCAGCGGGUUAUGCCGGGGACUCAUUGGAGACUGCCGGGGUCAACUCGGAGGAAGGUGGGGAUGACGUCAAGUCAUCAUGCCCCUUAUGUCUUGGGCUGCAAACAUGCUACAAUGGCCGGUACAAAGGGCUGCGAACCCGUGAGGGUAAGCGAAUCCCGGAAAGCCGGUCUCAGUUCGGAUCGGGGUCUGCAACUCGGCCCCGUGAAGCCGGAGUCGCUAGUAAUCGCGGAUCAGCAACGCCGCGGUGAAUACGUUCCCGGGCCUUGUACACACCGCCCGUCACGUCACGAAAGUUGGCAACACCCGAAGCCGGCGGCCUAACCCGUAAGGGAGGGAGCUGUCGAAGGUGGGGUCGGCGAUUGGGACGAAGUCGUAACAAGGUAACCGUAA
Molecule: ribosomal RNA, 499 nt
Filed under: uncultured Actinomycetes bacterium
Lineage: Bacteria; Bacillati; Actinomycetota; Actinomycetes
Description: bacterial SSU rRNA
Rfam family: Bacterial small subunit ribosomal RNA
Source: RNAcentral